RNAcentral lists this ribosomal RNA (987 nucleotides) under Pseudozyma sp. AUMC 7786. RNAcentral's name for it is "eukaryotic LSU rRNA". The stretch from base 489 to 643 matches the Rfam family "5.8S ribosomal RNA". Lineage: Eukaryota; Fungi; Basidiomycota; Ustilaginomycetes; Ustilaginales; Ustilaginaceae. The record is from RNAcentral.
AUCAUAAAAAUGAACUUUUCAUUCAAAUCCUAGAUUAUCAAAAGUGUUUGUGUAAAGUGCCGUCCCGUCUGCUCAGUGCGGCGGAAAAUAAAUUUCGCGCGCGCACUGUUGGACAGGCCGACCGAUGCAACCGUGUAUAAAAAAGGUAGCUCAAGUUUAGUUGGACANGUGCGAGCCACACCUCAGAAAAAAGGUUUUUCAUCGAAAUGAUCCAUCCGGUAGGGGGGACCUGCGGAUGGAUCAUUUCGAUGAAAAACCUUUUUUCUGAGGUGUGGCUCGCACCUGUCCAACUAAACUUGAGCUACCUUUUUUAUACACGGUUGCAUCGGUCGGCCUGUCCAACAGUGCGCGCGCGAAAUUUAUUUUCCGCCGCACUGAGCAGACGGGACGGCACUUUACACAAACACUUUUGAUAAUCUAGGAUUUGAAUGAAAGUUCAUUUUUAUGAUGGAUCCGACUGGUAAUGCGGUCGUCUAAAUCUAAAAAACAACUUUUGGCAACGGAUCUCUUGGUUCUCCCAUCGAUGAAGAACGCAGCGAAUUGCGAUAAGUAAUGUGAAUUGCAGAAGUGAAUCAUCGAAUCUUUGAACGCACCUUGCGCUCCCGGCAGAUCUAAUCUGGGGAGCAUGCCUGUUUGAGGGCCGCGAAUUGUUUCGAACGACAGCUUUUUUCAGUAAGAGCUGGCGGAUCGGUAUUGAGGGUCUUUUUUGCCAUUUACCGUGGCUCCCUUGAAAUGCAUUAGCGCAUCCAUUUGAUAGGCGAAAGACGGAGGAAAGCUCGAUUUUCGCCCUCUCUUCCCUGCCGGGUUUUGAUAAUAUCAGGACUUCGGAGGCGGAGAAAGGGUUAGAGCUGGACGCAACGACUUUUGCUGGUUGGAGUGCUUCUGAACCCCGCCCUUUCUAUUAGAGAAAGGGAUAUUUUCAAUUCAUCGGCCUCAGAUUGGUAGGACUACCCGCUGAACUUAAGCAUAUCAAAAGGCGGGAGGAAA